GACGAACGCUGGCGGCGCGCUUAACACAUGCAAGUCGAACGGAAAGGCCUGCUUUCCCUUGUGGAUUGCGGGUACUCGAGUGGCGAACGGGUGAGUAACACGUGAGUGAUCUGCCCCCAACUUGGGUAUAAGCCUGGGAAACUGGGUCUAAUUCCCGAUAGGACUGCAGGGUGGUGCCUGUGGUGGAAAACGAUUUUCUAGUGGUUGGGGAUGAGCUCGCGGCCUAUCAGCUUGUUGGUGGGGUAAUGGCCUACCAAGGCGGCGACGGGUAGCCGGCCUGAGAGGGUGGACGGCCACAUUGGGACUGAGAUACGGCCCAGACUCCUACGGGAGGCAGCAGUGGGGAAUAUUGCACAAUGGGCGGAAGCCUGAUGCAGCGACGCCGCGUGGGGGAUGACGGCCUUCGGGUUGUAAACUCCUUUCGAUCGCGAGGAAGCCACCUGGUUGGAAGGGUGGUGACGGUAGUGGUAGAAGAAGCACCGGCUAACUACGUG
Molecule: ribosomal RNA, 494 nt
Filed under: uncultured bacterium
Lineage: Bacteria
Description: partial 16S ribosomal RNA
Rfam family: Bacterial small subunit ribosomal RNA
Source: RNAcentral